RNAcentral lists this ribosomal RNA (497 nucleotides) under uncultured bacterium. RNAcentral describes it as "partial 16S ribosomal RNA". It matches the Rfam family "Bacterial small subunit ribosomal RNA", at positions 28 to 507 of the family's 1533-position model. The record is from RNAcentral.
GAUGAACGCUGGCGGCGUGCCUAAUACAUGCAAGUCGAGCGAACGGACGAGAAGCUUGCUUCUCUGAUGUUAGCGGCGGACGGGUGAGUAACACGUGGAUAACCUACCUAUAAGACUGGGAUAACUUCGGGAAACCGGAGCUAAUACCGGAUAAUAUGUUGAACCGCAUGGUUCAAAAGUGAAAGACGGUCUUGCUGUCACUUAUAGAUGGAUCCGCGCUGCAUUAGCUAGUUGGUAAGGUAACGGCUUACCAAGGCAACGAUGCAUAGCCGACCUGAGAGGAUGAUCGGCCACACUGGAACUGAGACACGGUCCAGACUCCUACGGGAGGCAGCAGUAGGGAAUCUUCCGCAAUGGGCGAAAGCCUGACGGAGCAACGCCGCGUGAGUGAUGAAGGUCUUCGGAUCGUAAAACUCUGUUAUUAGGGAAGAACAUAUGUGUAAGUAAAUGUGCACAUCUUGACGGUACCUAAUCAGAAAGCCACGGCUAACUACGUG